GACGAACGCUGGCGGCGUGCCUAAUACAUGCAAGUUGAGCGCUGAAGGUUGGUACUUGUACCAACUGGAUGAGCAGCGAACGGGUGAGUAACGCGUGGGGAAUCUGCCCUUGAGCGGGGGACAACAUUUGGAAACGAAUGCUAAUACCGCAUAAAAACUUUAAACACAAGUUUUAAGUUUAAAAGAUGCAAUUGCAUCACUCAAAGAUGAUCCCGCGUUGUAUUAGCUAGUUGGUGAGGUAAAGGCUCACCAAGGCGAUGAUACAUAGCCGACCUGAGAGGGUGAUCGGCCACAUUGGGACUGAGACACGGCCCAAACUCCUACGGGAGGCAGCAGUAGGGAAUCUUCGGCAAUGGACGAAAGUCUGACCGAGCAACGCCGCGUGAGUGAAGAAGGUUUUCGGAUCGUAAAACUCUGUUGGUAGAGAAGAACGUUGGUGAGAGUGGAAAGCUCAUCAAGUGACGGUAACUACCCAGAAAGGGACGGCUAACUACGUG
RNAcentral lists this ribosomal RNA (497 nucleotides) under uncultured bacterium. Its description in RNAcentral is "partial 16S ribosomal RNA". It matches the Rfam family "Bacterial small subunit ribosomal RNA", at positions 28 to 507 of the family's 1533-position model. The record is from RNAcentral.